CCUACGGGAGGCAGCAGUGGGGAAUAUUGGACAAUGGGGGCAACCCUGAUCCAGCGACGUCGCGUGAGUGAAGAAGUAUUUCGGUAUGUAAAGCCCUAUCAGCAGGAAAGAAAACGACGGUACCUGACUAAGAAGCCCCGGCUUACUACGUGCCAGCAGCCGCGGUAAUACGGCGGGGGCAAGCGUUAUUCGGAUUUAUUGGGUGUUAAGGGAGCGUAGAUGGGAGCGCAAGUCUGGAGGGAAAUGCCGGGGCCCAACCCCGGUACUGCUCUGGAAACUGGCGAGCUGGAGUGGAGGAGAGGUAAGCGGAAUGCCUGGUGUAGCGGUGAAAUGCGUAGAUAUCAGGAGGAACACCGGCGGCGAAGGCAGCAUACUGGACUGUAACUGACGUUGAGGCACGAAGGCGUGGGGAGCGAACAGGAUUAGAUACCCGAGUAGUC
This 440-nucleotide ribosomal RNA is filed under the name uncultured bacterium. RNAcentral's name for it is "partial 16S ribosomal RNA". It matches the Rfam family "Bacterial small subunit ribosomal RNA", at positions 338 to 795 of the family's 1533-position model. The record is from RNAcentral.